RNAcentral lists this ribosomal RNA (293 nucleotides) under uncultured bacterium. Its description in RNAcentral is "partial 16S ribosomal RNA". It matches the Rfam family "Bacterial small subunit ribosomal RNA", at positions 44 to 334 of the family's 1533-position model. The record is from RNAcentral.
GUGCCUAACACAUGCAAGUCGAACGAGAAAGUGGAGCAAUCCAUGAGUAAAGUGGCGACCGGGUGAGUAACACGUGACUAACCUACCUUCGAAUGGGGGAUAACUCCGGGAAACCGGGGCUAAUACCGGCAAUAAUAUCUUCGGGAUGAAAAGCCGGAGAUCAAAGAAGCAAUUCGUUUGAAGAGGGGGUCGCGGCUGAUUAGUUAGUUGGCGGGGUAACGGCCCACCAAGACGAUGAUCAGUAGCCGGCCUGAGAGGGCGCACGGCCACACUGGAACUGAAACACGGUCCAG